GUAGGGAAUUUUGCGCAAUGGGCGGAAGCCUGACGCAGCAACGCCGCGUACGUGAAGACGCCUUUCGAGGUGUAAAGCGUUGUCAGGAGGGACGAAGACUGUUAGGUGAAGAGCCUGAGAGGAUGACGGUACCUCUGGAGGAAGCCCCGGCUAACUCCGUGCCAGCAGCCGCGGUAAGACGGAGGGGGCGAGCGUUGUUCGGAAUGAUUGGGCGUAAAGCGCCCGUAGGCGGUGCGAGAAGUGGUUCGUGAAAGCCCUCGGCUUAACCGGGGAAGGGCGGGCCAGACUCUCGGACUGGAGUGCCGGAGGGGGAGGCGGAAUUCCUGGUGGAGCGGUGAAAUGCGUAGAGAUCAGGAAGAACGUCGGUGGCGAAGGCGGCCUCCUGGACGGACACUGACGCUGAGGGGCGACAGCGUGGGGAGCGAACGGGAUUAGAAACCCCUGUAGUCC
RNAcentral lists this ribosomal RNA (450 nucleotides) under uncultured bacterium. RNAcentral's name for it is "bacterial SSU rRNA". It matches the Rfam family "Bacterial small subunit ribosomal RNA", at positions 354 to 796 of the family's 1533-position model. The record is from RNAcentral.